ACAGCAGUAGCCGCGGGAAUACGAAGGGUGCAAGCGUUAAUCGGAAUUACUGGGCGUAAAGCGUGCGUAGGUGGUGGUUUAAGUCCGUUGUGAAAGCCCUGGGCUCAACCUGGGAAUUGCAGUGGAUACUGGGUCACUAGAGUGUGGUAGAGGAUAGUGGAAUUUCCGGUGUAGCAGUGAAAUGCGUAGAGAUCGGAAGGAACAUCUGUGGCGAAGGCGACUAUCUGGGCCAACACUGACACUGAGGCACGAAAGCGUGGGGAGCAAACAGGAUUAGAUACCCGAGUAGUCCCUGUCUCUUAUAC
This 305-nucleotide ribosomal RNA is filed under the name uncultured bacterium. Its description in RNAcentral is "partial 16S ribosomal RNA". It matches the Rfam family "Bacterial small subunit ribosomal RNA", at positions 508 to 807 of the family's 1533-position model. The record is from RNAcentral.